UCUAACCUGGGCGACACAGCUAGACCCCAUCUCAAAAACAAACAAACAAAACAAUCCAAGCCCAUUCCAGACCAAAUAAAUUAGAAUCUGUGGAGGCAGAGCCCAGGCAUCUGUAUUUUUUAAAGCUCCCAGGUAAUUUUAAUGGGCCACCACUACGGACUUGCACAACUGGAAGACUAUCCGUAGUGGUGUACCACCUUUCAGAAUGGACCCUCAAUUUGGGUAUGACCUUAAAGUGAAAAAUCUGCCACUUGUAGUUCCAGUUUAUUCAUCAUUUACUCAACCAGUAUUGGCUGUGCACCUACUAUGUCAUGCCUGGCCCUGUGCUAGGUACUGGAUAGUCAACAGUGAACAUGAUGCACUCCCUGGCCUUAGGAGCUGAGAAUUCUGCAUUACUGAAACAUGUUUUUGCCAGCCUCCACUACAAGGAAAUGCUAUGAGGUUAAUGACUGGUGGGUUGUCAGCUUUGGGAAGGCUAGACCUUAUCAUUUGCUGUGUAGCACCAACGUUCAUUUGGACACCUCGUUGACCUCUGUAAUGCAGAAUGAGGUGAUUAGUUUUCUUUAAGAUUCUCUUAGAGUUGAAUAUAUUAUUCAUAAAAAUUCCUUCUGAGGAUAAAUUCUAACAUUAAUUUAUUCUGAGGACCAAAUUAGGGAUCAGCAUAUGAUGAAACAAGUGCUCUGUGGUCUCACUCGCCCUGAGGUCAUUGAUCUAUAGGGAACACAG
This 726-nucleotide long non-coding RNA is filed under the name Homo sapiens (human). Its description in RNAcentral is "HSALNT0319328". The record is from RNAcentral. Lineage: Eukaryota; Metazoa; Chordata; Mammalia; Primates; Hominidae.